AUUGAACGCUGGCGGCAGGCUUAACACAUGCAAGUCGAGCGGGGUGAUGGUGCUUGCACUAUCACUUAGCGGCGGACGGGUGAGUAAUGCUUAGGAAUCUGCCUAUUAGUGGGGGACAACAUCUCGAAAGGGAUGCUAAUACCGUAUACGUCCUACGGGAGAAAGCAGGGGAUCACUUGUGACCUUGCGCUAAUAGAUGAGCCUAAGUCGGAUUAGCUAGUUGGUGGGGUAAAGGCCUAACAAGGCGACGAUCUGUAUCAGGUCUGAGAGGAUGAUCCGCCACACUGGGACUGGGACACGGCCCAGACUCCUACGGGAGGCAGCAGUGGGGAAUAUUGGACAAUGGGGGGAACCCUGAUCCAGCCAUGCCGCGUGUGUGAAGAAGGCCUUAUGGUUGUAAAGCACUUUAAGCGAGGAGGAGGCUCUUUUGGUUAAAACCCAAGAUGAGUGGACGUUACUCGCAGAAUAAGCACCGGCUAACUCUGUGCCAGCCGCCGCUGUAA
Molecule: ribosomal RNA, 503 nt
Filed under: uncultured bacterium
Lineage: Bacteria
Description: partial 16S ribosomal RNA
Rfam family: Bacterial small subunit ribosomal RNA
Source: RNAcentral